RNAcentral lists this microRNA precursor (91 nucleotides) under Myotis lucifugus (little brown bat). Its description in RNAcentral is "mir-544 microRNA precursor family". It matches the Rfam family "mir-544 microRNA precursor family". Lineage: Eukaryota; Metazoa; Chordata; Mammalia; Chiroptera; Vespertilionidae. The record is from Rfam by way of RNAcentral.
CUGAGAUCUUGUUAAAAUGCAGAUUCUGAUUUAGAACAUCUGGAGCAGGUCUGAGAUUCUGCAUUUCUAACAAGUUCCCAAAUGAUGCUAA